AUGGUGAGAGUUGGUAUUAAGGAGGACUUUGAGCAAUUAGUUCACAAUGCCAAGGUUGGUCCCUACAUUUCAGAUAAGUGCGACCAAUGCCUCAUCCUCACUGAAUCAUUUUUCAAAGAAUUUAAAUUCUUUCCCCGUGAGUCUAGGGUGUCUUUUAAACUUUAUGAUAAUCCAUUUACCAUUUCUCUAGAAAGGUUUGCUCACCUCUGCAAAAUCCCAUUCUGGGGUUCACUCGAUGAGCCACCUAGGUCUGAGUUUGAAGCAUUCUUAACUAGUCUUUGCUUUGGUCAAACUAGGGGAGUUAAGCAAGGUAGAAUAAAGAGCAUGCAUUUUCCUGUAAUUUAG
Molecule: ribosomal RNA, 345 nt
Filed under: Triticum aestivum (bread wheat)
Lineage: Eukaryota; Viridiplantae; Streptophyta; Magnoliopsida; Poales; Poaceae
Description: partial small subunit ribosomal RNA
Source: RNAcentral